Molecule: ribosomal RNA, 1346 nt
Filed under: uncultured bacterium
Lineage: Bacteria
Description: partial 16S ribosomal RNA
Rfam family: Bacterial small subunit ribosomal RNA
Source: RNAcentral
GACGAACGCUGGCGGCGUGCUUAACACAUGCAAGUCGAACGGAAAGGCCCUGCUUUUGUGGGGUGCUCGAGUGGCGAACGGGUGAGUAACGCGUGAGUAACCUGCCCUUGACUUUGGGAUAACUUCAGGAAACUGGGGCUAAUACCGGAUAGGAGCUCCUGCUGCAUGGUGGGGGUUGGAAAGUUUCGGCGGUUGGGGAUGGACUCGCGGCUUAUCAGCUUGUUGGUGGGGUAGUGGCUUACCAAGGCUUUGACGGGUAGCCGGCCUGAGAGGGUGACCGGCCACAUUGGGACUGAGAUACGGCCCAGACUCCUACGGGAGGCAGCAGUGGGGAAUAUUGCACAAUGGGCGGAAGCCUGAUGCAGCAACGCCGCGUGCGGGAUGACGGCCUUCGGGUUGUAAACCGCUUUCGCCUGUGACGAAGCGUGAGUGACGGUAAUGGGUAAAGAAGCACCGGCUAACUACGUGCCAGCAGCCGCGGUGAUACGUAGGGUGCGAGCGUUGUCCGGAUUUAUUGGGCGUAAAGGGCUCGUAGGUGGUUGAUCGCGUCGGAAGUGUAAUCUUGGGGCUUAACCCUGAGCGUGCUUUCGAUACGGGUUGACUUGAGGAAGGUAGGGGAGAAUGGAAUUCCUGGUGGAGCGGUGGAAUGCGCAGAUAUCAGGAGGAACACCAGUGGCGAAGGCGGUUCUCUGGGCCUUUCCUGACGCUGAGGAGCGAAAGCGUGGGGAGCGAACAGGCUUAGAUACCCUGGUAGUCCACGCUGUAAACGGUGGGUACUAGGUGUGGGGUCCAUUCCACGGGUUCCGUGCCGUAGCUAACGCUUUAAGUACCCCGCCUGGGGAGUACGGCCGCAAGGCUAAAACUCAAAGGAAUUGACGGGGCCCCGCACAAGCGGCGGAGCAUGCGGAUUAAUUCGAUGCAACGCGUAGAACCUUACCUGGGUUUGACAUGGAUCGGGAGUGCUCAGAGAUGGGUGUGCCUCUUUUGGGGUCGGUUCACAGGUGGUGCAUGGCUGUCGUCAGCUCGUGUCGUGAGAUGCUGGGUUAAGUCCCGCAACGAGCGCAACCCUUGUUCACUGUUGCCAGCACGUUAUGGUGGGGACUCAGUGGAGACCGCCGGGGUCAACUCGGAGGAAGGUGGGGAUGACGUCAAGUCAUCAUGCCCCUUAUGUCCAGGGCUUCACGCAUGCUACAAUGGCUGGUACAGAGAGUGGCGAGCCUGUGAGGGUGAGCGAAUCUCGGAAAGCCGGUCUCAGUUCGGAUUGGGGUCUGCAACUCGACCUCAUGAAGUCGGAGUCGCUAGUAAUCGCAGAUCAGCAACGCUGCGGUGAAUACGUUCCCGGGGCU